RNAcentral lists this ribosomal RNA (253 nucleotides) under uncultured bacterium. RNAcentral describes it as "partial 16S ribosomal RNA". It matches the Rfam family "Bacterial small subunit ribosomal RNA", at positions 524 to 776 of the family's 1533-position model. The record is from RNAcentral.
UACGUAGGGUGCAAGCGUUGUCCGGAAUUAUUGGGCGUAAAGAGCUCGUAGGCGGUCUGUUGCGUCGGCUGUGAAAACCCGGGGCUCAACUCCGGGCCUGCAGCCGAUACGGGCAGACUAGAGUUCGGCAGGGGAGACUGGAAUUCCUGGUGUAGCGGUGGAAUGCGCAGAUAUCAGGAGGAACACCGGUGGCGAAGGCGGGUCUCUGGGCCGAUACUGACGCUGAGAAGCGAAAGCGUGGGGAGCAAACAGG